GAUGAACGCUGGCUACAGGCUUAACACAUGCAAGUCGAGGGGAAACGACGGGGAAGCUUGCUUCCCCGGGCGUCGACCGGCGCACGGGUGAGUAACGCGUAUCCAACCUGCCUCUAACUGAGGGAUAACCCGUCGAAAGUCGGCCUAAUACCUCAUGGCAUCGUCUGCGGGCAUCCAACGACGAUUAAAGAUUUCAUCGGUCAGAGAUGGGGAUGCGUCUGAUUAGCUUGUUGGCGGGGUAACGGCCCACCAAGGCGACGAUCAGUAGGGGUUCUGAGAGGAAGGUCCCCCAAAUUGGAACUGAGACACGGUCCAAACUCCUAAGGGAGGCAGCAGUGAGGAAUAUUGGUCAAUGGGCGAGAGCCUGAACCAGCCAAGUAGCGUGCAGGAUGACGGCCCUAUGGGUUGUAAACUGCUUUUAUGCGGGGAUAAAGUGAGGGACGUGUCCUUCAUUGCAGGUACCGCAUGAAUAAGGACCGGCUAAUUCCGUG
RNAcentral lists this ribosomal RNA (491 nucleotides) under uncultured bacterium. RNAcentral's name for it is "partial 16S ribosomal RNA". It matches the Rfam family "Bacterial small subunit ribosomal RNA", at positions 28 to 507 of the family's 1533-position model. The record is from RNAcentral.